GCCAGUAUGGUGGCUAUGACCCUCGGCUUGUAAACCGAGUGGGUUCGGGUUCGAAUCCCGAGUAAGACU
Molecule: transfer RNA, 69 nt
Filed under: Trichonephila clavipes
Lineage: Eukaryota; Metazoa; Arthropoda; Arachnida; Araneae; Nephilidae
Description: tRNA-Thr
Source: RNAcentral